ACAGUAAACCGCUCUAUCGCUCCUUGAAAUAUAGGGGAGGAAAGUCCGGGCAACUCAGGGCACCAUUCUUCCUAACAGGAAGAUAUUCGUGAGGGUAUAGUAGCGUAACAGAAAAUAACCGUCCCAAUUUAUUGGGAUAAGGGUGAAAAGGUGGGGUAAGAGCCCACCGGGUUCUGUAGCAAUACGGAAUGCCGUACGCCUAAUGGGUUGUAAGACCAUGUAUAUUACGAUUCUUUCUGCUUUGCAGAAGGAGCAGAGCUGCUCGCAUUGUUUUAGGGUAACCUAAAGUCGUAAGGGGUAGGUCGCUCGAGGUUAUAGGUGACUAUAAUCCUAGAUAAAUGAUAGAGGCCUUAAUUUAUUUAUCGCACAGAACCCGGCUUACAGGUUUACUGUUUUA
This 397-nucleotide RNase P RNA is filed under the name Bacteroidales bacterium. Its description in RNAcentral is "RNase P RNA component class A". It matches the Rfam family "Bacterial RNase P class A". Rfam says of the family: Ribonuclease P (RNase P) is a ubiquitous endoribonuclease, found in archaea, bacteria and eukarya as well as chloroplasts and mitochondria. Its best characterised activity is the generation of mature 5'-ends of tRNAs by cleaving the 5'-leader elements of precursor-tRNAs. Cellular RNase Ps are ribonucleoproteins. Lineage: Bacteria; Pseudomonadati; Bacteroidota; Bacteroidia; Bacteroidales. The record is from RNAcentral.